GGACCUGUGUCGCAGUGGUUAGCGUAUUGCUCUUAUACUUGCUUCACCUUGUGUAGCUCGUGUGAUAGGAAAUGCAAAGGUCGUGAGUUCGAUCCUCACCUGGUCCA
RNAcentral lists this transfer RNA (107 nucleotides) under Xylaria bambusicola. RNAcentral describes it as "tRNA-Ile". It matches the Rfam family "tRNA". Rfam says of the family: Transfer RNA (tRNA) molecules are approximately 80 nucleotides in length. Their secondary structure includes four short double-helical elements and three loops (D, anti-codon, and T loops). Lineage: Eukaryota; Fungi; Ascomycota; Sordariomycetes; Xylariales; Xylariaceae. The record is from RNAcentral.